AAACUGGAACGAACUUUUUGGCC
This 23-nucleotide microRNA is filed under the name Ovis aries (sheep). Its description in RNAcentral is "miRNA 33-i". The record is from RNAcentral. Lineage: Eukaryota; Metazoa; Chordata; Mammalia; Artiodactyla; Bovidae.